UCACUUUGUAUUCAGUUUUGGCACAGAAAAAAGAAGAAUAUUUUCUUCAGAUUACAAACAUUAAUUCAUGGGAAGCUUGCAUGUUGCAAAUAGUAGGUCAUAGACCCGAGUUGUAUCUCGUUGUAAUUUCAUAGGAGACUGUAGUAUAGUUGACUCUUUGUAGCAAAAUGUUGAGUCAAUUUCAAAAUUAAAUUCUAAGGAGCCAAUAUUUUCCUAUGAGUCUCAAUGGUCUCCCUUCAAGCUUUUGAUUCAUGGUGACACAGUUUUGAGGGCAGAAAGUUGCACUCAAUCAUAUGAAUGGUUUUUCUAGACGAUGAUAAUUAAUUAAUUAGAACUCAAUAAGGAUAAUAAACUAAUUAAGACUCAAGUGAGAUGGAUUAAAGGAUUUAAGUCAAAUUGGGCUCAAGUCACUAAAGCCCACAAAGAAGCCUCUCUUAGGGGUUUAGGGCUUCAGUUUUGUACUCUUCACUUUGCGAUUCCAGAGAGAAACCCUAACCCUCCCUUCUAGAGAGAAGACCACCUUUCUCUAGUGCCUGGGUCUGUGAGAGAGAGUCGAACGAAAGGUUGUUUGGUUUGCGAGAGGCUUGCGAUUCACUCUACACGACUUCAUUGAACUGGAAUAGAUUUGGGAACAUCUAAAUCAUUCUCUCUAGAUUUAUUUUAUUUAUGGUUUUAUUGUCAUGUUUUUCUACUACGAUUAGAUGUAAAGAGCC
RNAcentral lists this long non-coding RNA (713 nucleotides) under Vitis vinifera (wine grape). Its description in RNAcentral is "long non-coding RNA (VVIN_LNC004650)". The record is from RNAcentral. Lineage: Eukaryota; Viridiplantae; Streptophyta; Magnoliopsida; Vitales; Vitaceae.